AUUGAACGCUGGCGGCAGGCUUAACACAUGCAAGUCGAACGAGUGGCGGACGGGUGAGUAAUGCAUGGGAAUCUGGCUUAUGGAGGGGGAUAACUACGGGAAACUGUAGCUAAUACCGCGUACCAUAGGAUGAGCCCAUGUGGGAUUAGGUAGUUGGUGAGGUAAAGGCUCACCAAGGCGACGAUCCCUAGCUGGUCUGAGAGGAUGACCAGCCACACUGGGACUGAGACACGGCCCAGACUCCUACGGGAGGCAGCAGUGGGGAAUAUUGCACAAUGGGCGCAAGCCUGAUGCAGCCAUGCCGCGUGUAUGAAGAAGGCCUUCGGGUUGUAAAGUACUUUCGGUCGGGAGGCGUUACCGGCAGAAGAAGCACCGGCUAACUCCGUGCCAGCAGCCGCGGUAAUAC
This 406-nucleotide ribosomal RNA is filed under the name uncultured bacterium. Its description in RNAcentral is "partial 16S ribosomal RNA". It matches the Rfam family "Bacterial small subunit ribosomal RNA", at positions 30 to 526 of the family's 1533-position model. The record is from RNAcentral.